GCCACUGUUUCAGGCCAUGACUUAGCACUUCUGCUACAGGAAUCUUUUCCAGUGACUAUAUUGAGGUCCUGAAGUAUGUAAAGCGUAUGGUCUAAAUAUCACUGCUCUCUACUCUAUGCUCUUCAAUAAAAAGGAUCUUUGGAAAAUCAUACAAGAACGAUGCACAAGAAUUAAAUACUGCACAUUCAUAAAAUUGUUCUAUAUUGAAUCUCAGUGGCAAAUAUGUUCUCAUCCCUAAUAAAAUCAUUGUUAAGAAACAGAAGAACAAAGGGACUACGGAAAAUUCUAAAACCUUCCUUCGAGACAAAAACUGUUUUGUAUGGAAAACCACAAAAGACACAUCUUUGAAGUAUUUGAAGAAAGCAAUCUAACCUAAGAUAACAAAAAGGUUCAGGAAAUCAGCAGAUUUCCUUGAGACAUAUUUUGGUUUUGCUGUUCAAGAUGGAAUCAGAAAAACAGUAGAUUUGCUUCCUCAAGUAACUCAAUAUAUUCAAAGGAAAUACAAUCCAGAGAUGCUAAUUUGUUUUCUGUUCAUCUGGGAACAUCUGUCUACUGGAAAUUAUUUAGCUCCUUAUUUUCACAGAGGUGAAGUCAUGCAUACACAAAAGGGCCACAUGCAUAUGCAUCACAAAGCUGCCAGAGCAAGCAUCAAGGAAGAAAAAGACAGGGGAGGAAAAUCACUCUAGGCAUGGGGACCUGCCCAUAGUAGAGGCUCAGAUCAUGCAUGAGCUUCACUGGCAUUUUCCCAUAGUGCAGGAGAAAGUAGAACCGUAUGAAUUCUGAGAUAAUCACCCAUGGCUGUUUGAUCAAAUUUGACAUAUCUUCUAUCAUUCUUGACAUUCCUGGAAAUUCCUGGAAAACCAGCAGGACCUGCUGGUUUGUGUGCAGUUGCUACAACGUAUGAUUUUAAGCCUUGUGCUUUGCUUCUUACUGUGAAAUUUCAAGCAUUCAAAGUUGUAAAUGGGCCUUGCUGAUGGAACUGUGUCCUGAGAUAAUCACAUUGUUCAAGAUUAAAAAUCUUUUAACGUUUCAACAUUACAGUGUGCACAGAAAGCUUUGAAAGAGUCAUUACUUCUGGUCAACUCGGUAAAAGGAAGAAAUGAGUGACACUUUAGAUAUCAGAAACAUUAUUCAUGAAUAAAAGGACUUGCUAAAAGCCCUUGAGAGAAGAACAGAUUAUAGGCCCCUUGAAAGAGAAUACUAGCUUCCAUUAAAUAAGGCCUUGAAAACAAAUUCAUGUAAUUGAAAUGCUAAGAGCUGAUGACACAGAUAUUUCACAUCAGUAACAUUGGAUGUACGGGUUUCUAAUUUGCACAAGCAUAGAUAUGGAGUCAUAGAUCGCUAUUAGAUAAAGCUUGGAAUUUAUGGAAAGCAUUAUAUCCAGUGGCAUAGUCUGAUUGUAAUAUAACUGCUUUGUAAAACAGUGAGAUAUGGACUCGCAUCUUAAACCAUAAGCCAAAUCUGAUCCUAAAGACAACAACAGCAGGAAAUGUUGGUUCAGCAACCAGCCUGAGAAUGCUUUAGUUAGAUUAACUAGUUCAGAUUUUUAGUUUUCUUGCAAAAUGAGGCUGAGCUGAAUAACAAGCCACACUGCAGCAGACCUACCUCUUUUUAUUGAUAACUGGAGAAUAUGCUGAUUUGUCAAAAUAAGGAAUGCUGCUGGCUAUUCCAGCAGUGUGUUGGAAAAGAGCACAAGGAUUUUUUCUGUUCUGAUAUUCUGACUGCUUUUUCUUGAUUGUGGAGUUUAUUUUUCCUACAAAAUCAUGGUAUACUUACUACCUCACUUCACUUUCUUACACCAGCAAGGAGAGAAAAGUGGUAGGCAAGGAAAAAUUAUAUCUGCAAAAAAGACUCAGGCCCAGUUCUCUUUAACUACAUACCCCUGGAGUAAAGUUAUUGCCUCCAUUGGUGUGAGAUGAUUCAUAUUAUCCAGCUGUUCCUGUUCCUGGUUUAAUAAAGAAAAUUGAGAUAAGCAAGCUAUUUAUAGAAGCCUACCUAAGAUACCUAAGAUACCUAAGGGAAAAGGCAAGUAACUGUGGAUUGCCAUAGAUUUCAAGAUUUGUAAUUUUGGGAUGAAGUUUUUACGUAGCAUAAGAAACACUGCAUAUACUUCAGCUAGGAUAAAACUGUUUUUUAGGCAAAAAUUUGUUUAUGUUUUAGCAAUAAAUCAGUAAAUGAAAUCAUCCUUCGUACUUUUUAUUUCUUGCAACCUCAGAAAUACUUGACAGCAGCGCAUUUUUUCCCCUAGUUUUUUGUUUGUUUGUUUUGUUGUGAAUAAUUUCUUUUAAUUUCUUCUAAUAAAUUUAGAUUGU
Gallus gallus (chicken) is the source of this 2312-nucleotide long non-coding RNA. Lineage: Eukaryota; Metazoa; Chordata; Aves; Galliformes; Phasianidae. The record is from Ensembl.